This 263-nucleotide ribosomal RNA is filed under the name uncultured bacterium. Its description in RNAcentral is "partial 16S ribosomal RNA". It matches the Rfam family "Bacterial small subunit ribosomal RNA", at positions 355 to 608 of the family's 1533-position model. The record is from RNAcentral.
UAGGGAAUCUUCCACAAUGGACGCAAGUCUGAUGGAGCAACGCCGCGUGAGUGAAGAAGGCUUUCGGGUCGUAAAAGCUCUGUUAUUGAAGAAGAACGUGUGUGACAGUAACUGGUCAUGCAGUGACGGUAUUCAAUCAGAAAGUCACGGCUAACUACGUGCCAGCAGCCGCGGUAAUACGUAGGUGGCCAAGCGUUGUCCGGAUUUAUUGGGCGUAAAGCGAGUGCAGGCGGUCUUUUAAGUCUGAUGUGAAAGCCUUCGGC